Molecule: ribosomal RNA, 338 nt
Filed under: Bacillus sp. C8/10
Lineage: Bacteria; Bacillati; Bacillota; Bacilli; Caryophanales; Bacillaceae
Description: bacterial SSU rRNA
Rfam family: Bacterial small subunit ribosomal RNA
Source: RNAcentral
UUAAAAAGAGGUGGAAGGUGGGGACGAUGUCAAAUCAUCACCCCCCUUAUGACCUGGGCCACACAUGUGUUCCAAUGGACGGUACAAAGAGCAACAAGGCCGCGAGGCGGAGUUAAUGUCAUAAAACCGUUCUCAGUUCGGAUUGUAGGGUGCAACUCGCCUACAUGAAGCUGGAAUCGGUCGUAAUCGCGGAUCAGCAUGCCGCGGCAAUACGUUCCCGGGCCUUGUACACCCCGCCCGUCACACCACGAGAGUUUGUAACACCCGAAGUCGGUGGGGUAACCUUUUGGAGCCAGCCGCCUAAGGUGGGACAGAUGAUUGGGGGAAGUCGAAGCUGG